Molecule: ribosomal RNA, 459 nt
Filed under: uncultured bacterium
Lineage: Bacteria
Description: partial 16S ribosomal RNA
Rfam family: Bacterial small subunit ribosomal RNA
Source: RNAcentral
CCUACGGUAGUCAGCAGUGAGGAAUAUUGGUCAAUGGGAGAAAUCCUGAACCAGCCAAGCCGCGUGAGGGAAGACGGCCCUCUGUGUUGUAAACCUCUUUUGUCGGAGAACAAAACCCGGUCCGUGUCCCGGACUGCGUGUAUCCGAAGAAAAAGCAUCGGCUAACUCCGUGCCAGCAGCCGCGGUAAUACGGGGGAUGCGAGCGUUUUCCGGAUUUAUUGGGUUUAAAGGGUGCGUAGGCGGUCCGUUAAGUCAGCGGUAAAAUUGCGGGGCUCAACCCCGUCGAGCCGUUGAACCUGGCAGACUUGAGUUGGCGAGAAGUAUGCGGAAUGCGCGGUGUAGCGGUGCAAUGCAGAGAUAUCGCGCAGAACUCCGAGUGCGAAGGCAGCGUACCGGAGCCAGACUGACGCUGAGGCACGAAAGCGUGGGGAUCGAACAGGAUUAGAUACCCUAGUAGUC